AGAGUUUGAUUAUGGCUCAGGAUGAACGCUAGCGAUAGGCCUAACACAUGCAAGUCGAGGGGUAGCACAUGAAGUAGCAAUACGGAUGGUGGCGACCGGCGCACGGGUGAGUAACGCGUAUGCAACCUGCCUACAACAGGGGAAUAACCCGUUGAAAGACGGACUAAUACCCCAUAACACAGGGAUCCCGCAUGGGAAUAUUUGUUAAAGAUUUAUCGGUUGUAGAUGGGCAUGCGUUCCAUUAGCUGGUUGGUGAGGUAACGGCUCACCAAGGCAACGAUGGAUAGGGGAACUGAGAGGUUUAUCCCCCACACUGGUACUGAGACACGGACCAGACUCCUACGGGAGGCAGCAGUGAGGAAUAUUGGUCAAUGGACGCAAGUCUGAACCAGCCACGUCGCGUGAAGGAAGACGGCCCUACGGGUUGUAAACUUCUUUUGUAAGGGAAUAAGUGUAGUACGUGUACUAUUUUGCAUGUACCUUACGAAUAAGGAUCGGCUAACUCCGUGCCAGCAGCCGCGGUAAUACGGAGGAUCCGAGCGUUAUCCGGAUUUAUUGGGUUUAAAGGGUGCGCAGGCGGGAGAUUAAGUCGGCGGUGAAAUUUUGCAGCUCAACUGUGAAAGUGCCUUCGAAACUGGUUUCCUUGAGUGUGGAUGAAGUAGGCGGAAUUUGUGGUGUAGCGGUGAAAUGCAUAGAUAUCACGAGGAACUCCGAUUGCGCAGGCAGCUUACUAAACCAUAACUGACGCUCAGGCACGAAGGCGUGGGGAUCAAACAGGAUUAGAUACCCUGGUAGUC
Molecule: ribosomal RNA, 797 nt
Filed under: uncultured Proteiniphilum sp.
Lineage: Bacteria; Pseudomonadati; Bacteroidota; Bacteroidia; Bacteroidales; Dysgonomonadaceae
Description: bacterial SSU rRNA
Rfam family: Bacterial small subunit ribosomal RNA
Source: RNAcentral